This 481-nucleotide ribosomal RNA is filed under the name uncultured bacterium. RNAcentral's name for it is "partial 16S ribosomal RNA". It matches the Rfam family "Bacterial small subunit ribosomal RNA", at positions 28 to 507 of the family's 1533-position model. The record is from RNAcentral.
GAUGAACGCUGGCGGCGUGCUUAACACAUGCAAGUCGAACGAAGCAUUUAAGACAGAUUACUUCGGUUUGAAGUCUUUUAUGACUGAGUGGCGGACGGGUGAGUAACGCGUGGGUAACCUGCCUCAUACAGGGGGAUAGCAGCUGGAAACGGCUGGUAAUACCGCAUAAGCGCACAGUACCACAUGGUACAGUGUGAAAAACUCCGGUGGUAUGAGAUGGACCCGCGUCUGAUUAGCUUGUUGGCGGGGUAACGGCCCACCAAGGCGACGAUCAGUAGCCGAGCUGAGAGGGUGACCGGCCACAUUGGGACUGAGACACGGCCCAGACUCCUACGGGAGGCAGCAGUGGGGAAUAUUGCACAAUGGAGGAAACUCUGAUGCAGCGACGCCGCGUGAGUGAAGAAGUAGUUCGCUAUGUAAAGCUCUAUCAGCAGGGAAGAUAGUGACGGUACCUGACUAAGAAGCUCCGGCUAAAUACGUG